GAUGAAGAACGUAGCGAAGUGCGAUAAGUAAUGUGAAUUGCAGAAUUCCGUGAAUCAUCGAAUCUUUGAACGCAAAUUGCACUCUCUGGUAUCCCGGGGAGUAUGCCUGUUUGAGGGUCAGUGUUAAUAAAAAUCGGUGCGUUGCACUUUAUUGUGACGUUCUGGAGUUUGAGUUAUCUUAACUUUUAGGUUAAGAGGCUUAAAAUUGACCUUUUUUUUGUGCAUUUUAGACGUACAUAAAUUUUCUUUUAUUUGUCUUUUAAUGCCAAAAUUAUAUUAGAUGCGACCAUAUCGUGUGGUUUCGUGUCUAUAAAUUUUUCAUGAUUUGACCUCAAAUCAGGUAGGAGUACCCGCUGAACUUAAGCAUAUCAAUAAGCGGAGA
Molecule: unclassified non-coding RNA, 382 nt
Filed under: soil metagenome
Description: partial contains 5.8S ribosomal RNA, internal transcribed spacer 2, and large subunit ribosomal RNA
Rfam family: 5.8S ribosomal RNA (bases 1-120)
Source: RNAcentral